Long non-coding RNA from Ornithodoros turicata, 639 nucleotides. RefSeq lists it as uncharacterized. The record is from RefSeq and is a predicted model, not a curated record. NCBI's taxonomy places the organism in Eukaryota, Metazoa, Arthropoda, Arachnida, Ixodida, Argasidae. The transcript has 3 exons.
CCAUGGCUGUUUCUUUGUGGCCAGUUGAACGGCUGGCCUCCGUAACUGCAGGAGUCACCUGAGUGUCUCCAGCCUCCUGUUGGGGAGUGUAGGGUGGGAACUCAGAGACCUGCGAGCAGGUUUGAGUUUCCACAGAUUUCCUUGGUGGUGCCACUCCCCUGCGCACCACUUCGGAGAAAGAUCCUUUCAUUUGAAAUUCGUAUUGUGUCUUUGCAGCUCUGUAAGGAAUGUUUUGUACGGUUUUGAUCUUUAUGAUUUCUUUUUCUUCUUUCCAACGUGGACACGAUCGAGAGUACACCGGGUGGUUGCCCUGGCAGUUGGCACAACGGUACUCAUUGCUGCAAGUCUCUGGCGAAUGGUCUUUGCCAGAGCACUUUGGGCAGGUGGAGUGUCCGCGGCAGACAAGCGAACUGUGCCCAAAAUGCUGGCACUUGAAACAACGUCUUGGGUUUGGAAUGUAUGGUCUGACAUUGCAACUGAGAGACCACGCCCUGCUCACUCAGUCCAUCUUCAAUCUCAGAUUCUGUGCAUUCGAUGAGUUCAUCUUCUGAUAUUACACCUUUGGUUAUGUUCAGUGUGCGGUGUACGUUAACAUUUACAGUGCAGCAGGCGUGUCGCCCACCAUGGAGCCCAACUUGG